GAACCGUCCAAACGUUAUUCGGAUUUAUUGGGCUUAAAGGGUAUGUAGGCGGCCCUUCAAGUCGGGUGUGAAAGCCCUCGGCUCAACCGAGGAACUGCGCCCGAUACUGCAGGGCUUGAGGGAGACAGAGGUAAGCGGAACUGAUGGUGGAGCGGUGAAAUGCGUUGAUAUCAUCAGGAACACCAGUGGCGAAAGCGGCUUACUGGGUCUCUUCUGACGCUGAGAUACGGAAGCUAGGGGAGCGAACGGGAUUAGAUACCCCGGUAGUCCUAGCUGUAAACGAUGAGCACUUGAUCGUCGGGGCCCCCCAUAGCCUCUCGGUCGCAGCGAAAGUGGUAAGUGCUCCGCCUGGGGAGUAUGGUCGCAAGGCUG
This 372-nucleotide ribosomal RNA is filed under the name uncultured organism. RNAcentral describes it as "bacterial SSU rRNA". It matches the Rfam family "Bacterial small subunit ribosomal RNA", at positions 527 to 896 of the family's 1533-position model. The record is from RNAcentral.